This is a non-coding RNA of Caretta caretta (loggerhead turtle), 5192 nucleotides long. The record is from RefSeq and is a predicted model, not a curated record. NCBI's taxonomy places the organism in Eukaryota, Metazoa, Chordata, Testudines, Cheloniidae.
GGGAGCCCAGAGUCGGUCCGUGUGCCGUGGGACAGACGCUGGGAGCUGUCUGGGGAGGAACCGCCAGGGCUUUCCCCACAAAAACAAGCGCUCGGCGGGGUUCGCAUCAGCCGGAAGGGCGGCCCACUUGCCCGGUCUCGCCGGACACGGCGUGCAGCUGUUGCGAGAGGCGGUGCGGGGAAGCGCAGAGCCCACAGGGCGGGCAGAGGAACGCGUGCGCUUGCCCGCCGUUGUGUAACGCUAACCGGGAGCCGCCGCCAGUGAACAAGCUGCACGGCGGGCACCUUGCCAGUCAAUCCCAGGCUGAGCAGGUUGGGAGGAAGAAAUUUUGGGAGUCCGGCGAGGUGGGGGAGUAAAAAGGAAAAAAUCAUGUCCCUGGGGAGAGGAACUGGUGUGGUUCUGGAAAGAUAGUCAUUGAAGAGGUAGCACCAUUAGAAACUAUGGUGAGAGCUCACAGUCCCAAUCAAUGUAGUUAUAGAAUUGUAGUCUGGUCAUGCUAACAAACAGGAUCAGUAAAGAGGGGAGUUCUGCGAGGGAGUUCUCCAGCCAAAGGAGGAGUGACUACAUGACCCUCGGGUAAGAGCCUAAAAUCAGAUACAUUCAAACCAGCUGGUAAAUGAGCCGUAAACAACUUCAGCAGAUAAACCUGAGCUGGCUCUGGAAAAAGCAGCCACAUGGGCAGUGACUGGAGUGCACAGAUGAAGAGACAAUGGCAAUUGGGAAUGAUUAUAAGGACCUGAAGAGGUUAGAACAGAGCCUUCUAUCUGGCCAAUCAUGGGGGUGAGGAGAGGAGGAAAGAUGAAACAGAGAAUAUGGAGACCUUUGAAACAGGAAGAGGAAGUGAUCAGCAUACAGAACAUGAAAUGUGGAUUAAGUGGCCCAGCAUGUUUGCUCCAUAAUGAGAGGAAUGGACACUCCAGGAAAACGCCUCUGGAGAACUAGGGAGUUGGGAUUCAUUGGUUGUUCCCUGCAAGUCAAGGAUUGGACUGGCAGAGUUCUGAAGAGUUUGCUGGCAAGGCAGACAAGCUGUGAUGAUCGAGUGGCAAAAUAACAUCAUGAUCAGAUCUGCUUAUGGAGUGACAUACAAGUGCACGAGCUUCUGGGUGAGGUCUACCGUAAGAAGCAAAGACCUGGAGAGGAUGAAGAGUUUCCUGCAAUGACCAAAUUGGGAAUAUCUACAGUUUUGCUGAACCCAGAGACUGGAGAUAUCAUCAUCAUCGUCAUCAUGUCUUUUGAGGACCAUUGUGCCAGCUAGAGUAUCCAAAGUUUAUAGCAUCAUAUCAAGCAUUGUAGAGUGAAGUUCCCAGAUCUGUCUCAAACCUGCAAAUCCACGAAUCUCUGUGAUGGUCCAGUGGGCAAUGCCAGUAGCCAGAGAAGAAGCAGUAGAAUUUGUUUGGAGAUGGGCGUGGGUCAGAACAGUCUUUGGAGCAUGAGGAGAGCUUUGCAUCGUGAUUGAACCAAAGAAAUCUGUCUUCUGCCUCAAAGCAGAAAUCUUGGUUGCUGAGGCAACAUGUUGACUGGGGGGGACCCCAAAACUAAAGCAAAAAAUCUUAAGUAAAGAUGGCUCAUUUCCAACUCACUAUUUAUUUUUUUUGAUCUUCAUAGAAAAGACACAUACUGGCAAGAAAGCACUGCUGGUGGCUUUUUAAUAAAAAAAUCUGUUUGCUGAGGGAUUAUGCCUCAUAACUUGAAUGUUCAGCUGGUGAGAAAUGCACACUAGUAGUUCAAAAUUUUAAAAAUAUGAAACACUGUAUUAAAAAUCUUUAGAGGUUUUAUAACUUUAGUAGGAAAAGUUCUUAAAGGCCCUAGUUGGAAAGCAUCUGCUUAACCAUGAACUGGUUGCUAGGUUUUAAAAAGAUUUGUUGCUUGUAGCUAAUACAGAGUUGUUCCAAAAUGCACUCUGUUUCACUUAAUGAACAUGUCUUUAAUGUUCAAGUAGUUGCAUAAGAUUUAGCCACACAGCUCCCACUGAAUUGAACAGGAGUUCUGUAUUUAAAUCUAGUGAAACCCAUUGAAAAUGUGUCAAUUUAAUUUGCACUCCAAACUUUUUUGUUACGAGGGGAAAAAAACCUUGUGAGUUAACUUAUCAAAAGAAAGAAGCACAGUUAAAAGUGUUUGCUGAAACUUUCUUUAAUUUUUUCCAAUACAGACAUUGGGCUAAUGUAAAUCCACAUAAAUUAAUUGAAAUAUGUGGAGCUGUGAUGAAUAAUGCUAGUUGAGGCUCUGCCCCAUUUUGCCAAGGUAUUCAACCUCUUUCAGUUUUGCAUAUUAUCUGGUGUGUACUGUACUAUCUAGAUACAAGAUUAGGAUUGCUUGAAAGCUUGUGUCUUACACAAACAGAAGUUGGUCCAAUAAAAGAUAUUACUUCACCCACCUUGUCUCUCUAAUAUCCUGGGACCAACAUGGCUACAAUAUUAAAUACAAGAUGUCAUCUUAAAAAUUGCAACCCAGUAUAAUCCUACUGACUUCCACUAAAUUUUAAUGGGGCUAAAUCAGGGCAGAAAGUGAUCCUAAGGAUAGAGUUUCAAUUAGCUUUGAAUUCCUUUGUCAAGUCCCCCUUUUCUUUUUGUCUUUUAGUUUAGAUUUGUGUGAAAAUGUAUACACACACACACACACACACACACAAAUGAUAACACUAUAUACAUAUACAUAUAAUUAUUUGUAUUAUUGCAGCACCUAGGAGCCUUAGUCAGGAGCCAGAACCCCAUUGUGCUAGGUGCUGUACAAACACAGGACAAAAGGAUGGUUCCUGCUCCAGAGAGUUUACAAUCUAAGACAAGAGACAACAGCUGGAGACAGACAGGUGGGGGAGUACAGGGAAACAAUGAGACCAUAUUGGUCAGCAGGACAGGCAGUGAUCUCAGCUCAUCAGCAGCCUAACUGUUAAGUUAUAUUAAGGCAUCAUGGCAAAGGAAAGUUUUAAAGAGGGGAUUUGUAGGAGAACAAUGUAGUAUUUUUGCAGAUGUUUACAGUGAGCUUCUCCCAAGCAUGAGGGACAGCAUAGCCAAAAUCACAUAGGUGCUUGUUUGAAAAUGUAACGAGUGGGUGAUGGAGGCUGGCAUCAUGAGCGGGGUCAGAUGUGGGAGCAAACAGCAAAUGAGAGAGUAGGUGUGAUGGCGCGUGCACCCCAUACUGAUCUGACAAGAGCUGGGUGGGGCCAGAUGGGUCGAAGCUACUAAUUAGGCUGAAAGUCAGGGAGCUAAUGGAGGAGGAAUUGGCUCACCUGGGCAAGAACAUGUGGGGUCUGUAGAAAGACAGGUAGCUGGCUACUGGGUAGGGGGUGGUGUCUAGGGAAGGGUAGUCACUCCGUGAAAAGGGGGGAGGAGUGUUUGAGGCUGCGGGAAGGCAGGCUGCACAGACUACCUUAGAGGAGGGAGUGAAGAAACUGGUGAACCCAGGGUGGGGGUGGGUAGCUACUUAGGUAGAAAAAAGCCCAGGGAAACAACAACGAGGUCAAAGGCAGUACAGGCUUCAGCUACAUGUUACAGGGUCCCUGAGCUGGAACCCAGUGCAGAGGGUGGGCCUGGGUUCCCCUACAAGUCAGUGGGUAUUGGCUCCGAGCACUGGAAAUGCCAGCUGGAUAGCUGGUCUGGAAACACUGGGAUUUCCCUGGAAGGGGAGGGACUUAGUGGCCUCGCUGGAGUACCAAUCCAUGGACUGGAAGCAUCUGCACCAAGAACGGGAGAGGCCACAUACACAGAGAAGAAGAUGGGUGGCGAGACCACUGAGAAGCGUGCAGCUUGAGACAGAGCUAAUCCCCAGAGUAACCAGCUGGAGGUGCCUCAAGUGGAGAGUGGACCCUGUGACAGUGGGGAUAGGCCAUGGAGAGCCUUUAAAAUGAAAGAAGUAGCUUUAUAUUUGGGUGCAAUGUGGAGCCAGUGAUGGGGUGCAAAGACAAGGUUACAUGGCCAAAGUGGUAGGACAGGGGAAUAAUCUUUGCAGCAACAUUCUGAAUUGUUGCAUUUGUCAAGGCCAGAGAAAAAGAUGUUACACAAAUUGAGAUGCAAGGUGAUAAGAGCCUGGAUAAGACUUAUCCACCCACAAAUCUAUAAGAAAAGAUAUAUCUUAAAGAUGUUAUGCAGAAAGAAUUUGCAAGAUUUAGACACAGUCUGGGUGUGAAGACCUUGAGAGAGGUCCAGGUCAAAGAUGACACUCAGGUUAUAGGCCUGAGUAACAGUCAGGAAGGUAGUGCUGUCCACAGUGAUUGAGAAAGGAAGUAGCAGGGAGCAUUUUGGGAAAAAAAAAUAAGAGCUCUGGUGUAGCCAUGUUGAGCUUAAGCUGAUGGUUAGACACUUACAUGGACAUGUCCGAGAGACAGGCUUCUAUUUAAUGGUACAAGACAAAAAAUGAAAAAUAGGUACAAUAGACUGAGAUGGCUCCUUUGGGCACUGAUUUUACACCCCAUAUUCUUUAUGGAAAUAUGCUUAUGAUGUGGAUAUGGUAUAACAGAUAUGUUUUAUGCAAGAUGGGUCUUGUAAGGUAUCACUGGAAAGAUUAUAAUUUACUGAAUGUGAUUAUCCAAUUUGUAUGCAUGUAUCAUUUCUGUAUCUAAAGUAAGGAAUAUUGACUGUGUAUUUGGGAGACACCCACCAGACAACAGGCCAUCACCCUUGAUGGGCCAUUAGGAAGAAACAGUAAGACUUUGAAGAUACUAAUCUCGCUCCUUCCUGAGAGGCAUCCUGGGAUGUAGCUGUGACACUACUAGGUCAGGUGGUCCUGUCACCUGGUACUAAACACCAUUUUGGAUUUCUAGUAAUUUUCCACUAAAAGAAGGGGACGGUCAAGACUGGGAAACAAAAAAGAUUCCUGCCUUAUGUAAAUCUUAUUUAAGGCUGGGGAGCAGGGCAAACAGGACUCUUCUCCAUUGCCUUCCUGCCCAAGAAGAAAGACUGCUGAAAGUACCUGAAGAGACAAAGGAACUGAACACUGAGAAAGGCAAGGGCUGAGUCCAGAGGAGUCUAGUAUGUAAAGAGAAAUAAUUGGAACUCUAAGCUACAGAAACUCUGCAACUUGCCUAAAACAACAUUUAGGGUGAGAAAUUACUUCUUGAAACUAGUCUCUUUAAGAUCUUAAGCUUAGUAUGUGUGUUUUGUUUUAUUUGCUUGGCAAUCUGCUGUGUUCUGUUUGUAUCCCUUAUAAUCACUUAAAAUCUGCCUUUUAUAGUUAAUAAACUUGUUUUGUUUGUUAUUAAA